GCAGCGACACUAUGUGUUGUUGGGUAGGGGAGCGUUCUGUAAGCCUGCGAAGGUGUGCUGUGAGGCAUGCUGGAGGUAUCAGAAGUGCGAAUGCUGACAUAAGUAACGAUAAAGCGGGUGAAAAGCCCGCUCGCCGGAAGACCAAGGGUUCCUGUCCAACGUUAAUCGGGGCAGGGUGAGUCGACCCCUAAGGCGAGGCCGAAAGGCGUAGUCGAUGGGAAACAGGUUAAUAUUCCUGUACUUGGUGUUACUGCGAAGGGGGGACGGAGAAGGCUAUGUUAGCCGGGCGACGGUUGUCCCGGUUUAAGCAUGUAGGCUGGUUGUCCAGGCAAAUCCGGAUAAUCAAGGCUGAGGUGUGAUGACGAGGCACUACGGUGCUGAAGUAACAAAUGCCCUGCUUCCAGGAAAAGCCUCUAAGCAUCAGGUAACAUCAAAUCGUACCCCAAACCGACACAGGUGGUCAGGUAGAGAAUACCAAGGCGCUUGAGAGAACUCGGGUGAAGGAACUAGGCAAAAUGGUGCCGUAACUUCGGGAGAAGGCACGCUGGUGUGUAGGUGAAGUCCCUGCGGAUGGAGCUGAGACCAGUCGAAGAUACCAGCUGGCUGCAACUGUUUAUUAAAAACAC
RNAcentral lists this ribosomal RNA (626 nucleotides) under Klebsiella pneumoniae. RNAcentral describes it as "partial 23S ribosomal RNA". It matches the Rfam family "Bacterial large subunit ribosomal RNA", at positions 1205 to 1816 of the family's 2925-position model. The record is from RNAcentral. Lineage: Bacteria; Pseudomonadati; Pseudomonadota; Gammaproteobacteria; Enterobacterales; Enterobacteriaceae.